RNAcentral lists this ribosomal RNA (253 nucleotides) under uncultured bacterium. RNAcentral's name for it is "partial 16S ribosomal RNA". It matches the Rfam family "Bacterial small subunit ribosomal RNA", at positions 524 to 776 of the family's 1533-position model. The record is from RNAcentral.
UACGGAGGGGGCAAGCGUUGUUCGGAAUUACUGGGCGUAAAGCGCACGUAGGCGGAUUGUUAAGUCGGGGGUGAAAUCCCGUGGCUCAACCCCGGAAUGGCCUCCGAUACUGACAAUCUUGAGGUCGGGAGAGGUGAGUGGAAUGGCGAGUGUAGAGGUGAAAUUCGUAGAUAUUCGCCGGAACACCAGUGGCGAAGGCGGCUCACUGGCCCGAUACUGACGCUGAGGUGCGACAGCGUGGGGAGCAAACAGG